This 374-nucleotide long non-coding RNA is filed under the name Hordeum vulgare. RNAcentral describes it as "long non-coding RNA (HVUL_LNC004055)". The record is from RNAcentral. Lineage: Eukaryota; Viridiplantae; Streptophyta; Magnoliopsida; Poales; Poaceae.
AAGAUUCCCAUUGUUCUUGUCCUCGUCUUUGUAUAUGAGAUUAAAAUCCCCACAUACCAUCCAUGGGCCAUUGCAGCCUGCAUGCACAUCACGGAGCUCUUGCAUGAACGCUAUUUUUGCGCGUCGUCCUGUGGUCCGUAUACCACGGUGAUCCGCCAUGGCGUCCCUGUCGCGGUAGAGAGCUUGGCGGAGACAGCGUUUGUGGUGAACAAAGGGGCUGUGAUGGACACCACUUUGUUUUUCCACGCUAGGAGGAUUCCUCCUCUCGACCCAUCGGCGGGUAAGUACGUGUAAUCAUCGAACUCUGAUCCCAACGCCUCGAGGACGGUCGACGAGCAGAUCAAUGCCAUCUUCGUUUCUUGCAGACAUACAAC